ACGCUAGCUACAGGCUUAACACAUGCAAGUCGAGGGGCAGCAUGGUCUUAGCUUGCUAAGACUGAUGGCGACCGGCGCACGGGUGAGUAACACGUAUCCAACCUGCCGUCUACUCUUGGACAGCCUUCUGAAAGGAAGAUUAAUACAAGAUGGCAUCAUGAGUCCGCAUGUUCACAUGAUUAAAGGUAUUCCGGUAGACGAUGGGGAUGCGUUCCAUUAGAUAGUAGGCGGGGUAACGGCCCACCUAGUCUUCGAUGGAUAGGGGUUCUGAGAGGAAGGUCCCCCACAUUGGAACUGAGACACGGUCCAAACUCCUACGGGAGGCAGCAGUGAGGAAUAUUGGUCAAUGGGCGAGAGCCUGAACCAGCCAAGUAGCGUGAAGGAUGACUGCCCUAUGGGUUGUAAACUUCUUUUAUAAAGGAAUAAAGUCGGGUAUGGAUACCCGUUUGCAUGUACUUUAUGAAUAAGGAUCGGCUAACUCCGUGCCAGCAGCCGCGGUAAUACGGAGGAUCCGAGCGUUAUCCGGAUUUAUUGGGUUUAAAGGGAGCGUAGAUGGAUGUUUAAGUCAGUUGUGAAAGUUUGCGGCUCAACCGUAAAAUUGCAGUUGAUACUGGAUAUCUUGAGUGCAGUUGAGGCAGGCGGAAUUCGUGGUGUAGCGGUGAAAUGCUUAGAUAUCACGAAGAACUCCGAUUGCGAAGGCAGCCUGCUAAGCUGCAACUGACAUUGAGGCUCGAAAGUGUGGGUAUCAAACAGGAUUAGAUACCCUGGUAGUCCACACGGUAAACGAUGAAUACUCGCUGUUUGCGAUAUACGGCAAGCAGCCAAGCGAAAGCGUUAAGUAUUCCACCUGGGGAGUACGCCGGCAACGGUGAAACUCAAAGGAAUUGACGGGGGCCCGCACAAGCGGAGGAACAUGUGGUUUAAUUCGAUGAUACGCGAGGAACCUUACCCGGGCUUAAAUUGCAGAUGAAUUACGGUGAAAGCCGUAAGCCGCAAGGCAUCUGUGAAGGUGCUGCAUGGUUGUCGUCAGCUCGUGCCGUGAGGUGUCGGCUUAAGUGCCAUAACAAGCGCAACCCUUGUUGUCAGUUACUAACAGGUUCCGCUGAGGACUCUGACAAGACUGCCAUCGUAAGAUGUGAGGAAGGUGGGGAUGACGUCAAAUCAGCACGGCCCUUACGUCCGGGGCUACACACGUGUUACAAUGGGGGGUACAGAGGGCCGCUACCACGCGAGUGGAUGCCAAUCCCAAAAACCUCUCUCAGUUCGGACUGGAGUCUGCAACCCGACUCCACGAAGCUGGAUUCGCUAGUAAUCGCGCAUCAGCCACGGCGCGGUGAAUACGUUCCCGGGCCUUGUACACACCGCCCGUCAAGCCAUGGGAGCCGGGGGUACCUGAAGUGCGUAACCGCGAGGAGCGCCCUAGGGUAAAACUGGUGACUGGG
Molecule: ribosomal RNA, 1442 nt
Filed under: uncultured organism
Description: SSU rRNA
Rfam family: Bacterial small subunit ribosomal RNA
Source: RNAcentral